UCACUAGCAUUCUUCGUUUGCUUUUCACUCUUUCUUCGCUACGAAAUGUCAAAAGUUUUCAUCAGUCCGAAAAAUUCUUUCUCUUGGAAAAGUUCACAUCUGUUAUUUACUGAUGUGUGAUAAGAAUUUAUAUCUUAUUAAUUUGCAUAAAAUAAAUAUUUAUGUUUUGUAAUAAAAUACGUGUCGUUUAUGUAAAUUGUUAAAGUCAAUAAAGAAUACAACGAAACUAUAUACAUAUAUGUGUGUUUUUUGGUAAGACAACGCAAUCGUAAGUUGGACAUUGGGCCCGAUUACGUACAACGAAACCGACGAGUAGAUGAUAAAUAGCAAAUGUGUGUGCGAUUUUGGUAAAUAACCAAGAAGAACGAAUCAAAAUUUUGAUUUUCUCUCAUUUUCCGGAAGGCAAAGUUGUGGGCGUGCAGUAGGAAAUAUCUGUCGAACUGUUAAAAAGUGACUAUUAAGGAAAUAAAUUAGAAAUUUCCGAAAUAAUGUGGUAAUUAGUCACAUAUUAACCGCACAAUUUCAGUUUUUGUUAUUGUGCUUUAAAUUGUAAGUUGCUAACCUUUGUCAACAACAGCAAAUACUUACCAGCGUACGCGUGUAUACAAAAAUAGACAAAAUGAUUCGUCUGAAACAAUUUUAAGCUAAAGCAAAAUAAACCAUUAAAGAAUUAAAAUAUUUAUAAAUAAAACCACUUUACGUCACAACCACUGUUGCUGGGCUAAGAGAUUUUGUGCAUAUAUAUACAUAUGUAUAUAUAUUUGUGCAGUUAUUAAACAAUAAUAUCAGUGUUUGUGUGCGUGCAAUUUUUUAAAUCGUUUGCCAAAAAAUCUCGAAAUAUAAUUAGAAAUUCAAACGGUGAAUUUUCCCCGACAGCCAACACUCUGAGUUCGCAUUCGAAAGCGUCAACAACGCAACGACGACGACGAAGAAAACAACGGUAAAGCUAUUAGCAAGCGAAGGCGGCGUAAAAAGUAAAGUAAAACAAAAAUAUCUGAAUAUUGGAAAAUUUUGUCAUCAUAUGCAACGGUGCGGUCAACGAUCAGCGUAAAAUUGCAGCAGCAGGAACAACAACAACAACAAAAAACUAAGCAAAAUUGUGUGAAAAAGCGUUUGUAUUUUGUGUAAAAAUCUGUGCUUAGUUCGUUUUUUUUAAGGAUUUUUCUUUAUAUUUAAAUAAAAAGUUUUAAAUUCUUUUUGUAUUCAAAAUUAAAAACCGUUACAAAAAAUAAGCAGCAAAAUGUCGCGUUUAAGUCAGUCGAAUUUAAUACAAAAAUUGUCACUUUUAAAGACUAAAAAGUUUAUGUGAUAUACGUUCUACAAUACGUGCGAUAUCAAUAUAAAAACAACAACAACAACAACAACAAAGAGAAAAUUAACAAAAAAUCUGACAAAAACGCUGAGCAGUGGUGGUAGAAGUGCUGCGAAAAUACCAACAACAAAAAACUUGUAACAAAACGCAAAAGUCGACCCGACGCUGUGUGGUAAUUUUUACUGGGCGCUUUAAAAAAAAUUUCAAUUUUCAAAAAAAAAAAUCGAAUUUCAAAAAAAAAAAAAAAAUU
Molecule: long non-coding RNA, 1562 nt
Filed under: Ceratitis capitata (Mediterranean fruit fly)
Lineage: Eukaryota; Metazoa; Arthropoda; Insecta; Diptera; Tephritidae
Description: uncharacterized LOC105664620
Source: RNAcentral